AUGCAUACGGUUGCUUCUGGCAGCGGCGAGGAUCCCUUCCGUGUCCUGCCCGACGAGCUCCUCCGGCAUGUCCUGUCCUUUCUGCCAGCGGACGAUGCCCUGCAGACCUGCGUGCUCGACACCCGGUGGCAUGACCUUUGGAGACGCGCGACCAGCCUGAUCCUCUUCUUUGACAAGAGGUCAAGUGCCUGUAGCUGCGAGCGUUUCGAACAGCUAGCGAAGCUGGUCACCAACCUCAGCGGGCACUCGCCUCUCGUCAAGUGUGAGAUCAAUGUCUAUCCUGGUGAUCCACCGGAAGCGUUCACAAACACCACCAAGCUGUUGAUUGAUUAUGUCCUAGCGUGCCAGACCGAGGAGCUCACACUCAGCCCCGUUGACGUCGAGGACAUUGAUGGCCUUGACCCACCAAUAUUCGAUGUGCCUCUCAUUUCCCAGCACCUGAAGACCAUAGACCUUCACUGGGUUUGCCUAGAAUUCCCUGGUUUGGACUUCAGCGGCUGCCCGGUAUUAGAGGAUCUCAAGCUGCGGCAUUGCAACGUUUAUGUGCAGAAGAUAUCAUCCAAGUCACUCAAGCGUCUCUGCAUCACUGAUUUCUGCGUGGUCCCUUUGGAUUUCCGCAUUCGGAUUUGUGCACCGGAUCUUGUCUCACUGCAAGUUGAUGAUUUUGAUGGCGUGACCCCUUUCCUUGAGGACAUGCCAUCUCUAGUAACAGCCUAUGUUGGGCUUGACCGUGCAUGUCACGAUUGGUGUGAAGAUAUGCGCCUGAAGGGUUGUGGUUUGUAUGACUGUGGUUGUCAUACUUAUCCCGAAGAGGGGGGUGUGCUUCUCAAUGGUCUGUCCAAUGCUGUCAAUUUGGAGUUGAUAGCUGUACGUCAAGUGUUUAUCUAUACAUGGGAUUUGGAAUGGUGCCCAACAUUUUUCAACUUAAAGACUUUGUUACUCAAUGAAUGGUUCACAGCUAUUGACCUAGUUUGCAUUCUCCAACACUCUCCACUUCUUGAGAUGCUCACUCUUCAGCUUGGUGGUAUAAAGAGCCUCACUAGAGCAAGAGGGGCCCAAAAACCAAUAGAACAAUCAUUCAUGUGUGCGCACCUCAAGAUUGUCAACAUCGAAUGUGAUGAGGUUGAUGAGGACAUUCGCAAAAUUUUGAAGAUCUUAUGGGCAUGUGGCAUACUCCGUGAUCGCAUUAGCAUAAAGGCUCCAUCCUCACCCUCAUACUUUUUCAGUUUCCAGAAGGACCCGCAGGCAGUGAUUCCUUUGUAG
This 1263-nucleotide ribosomal RNA is filed under the name Triticum aestivum (bread wheat). Its description in RNAcentral is "partial small subunit ribosomal RNA". Lineage: Eukaryota; Viridiplantae; Streptophyta; Magnoliopsida; Poales; Poaceae. The record is from RNAcentral.